UACGUAGGGGGCUAGCGUUGUCCGGAAUCACUGGGCGUAAAGCGCACGUAGGCGGAUUGCUAAGUCAGGGGUGAAAUCCUGGAGCUCAACUCCAGAACUGCCUUUGAUACUGGCGACCUUGAGUCCGGGAGAGGUGAGUGGAACUGCGAGUGUAGAGGUGAAAUUCGUAGAUAUUCGCAAGAACACCAGUGGCGAAGGCGGCUCACUGGCCCGGUACUGACGCUGAGGUGCGAAAGCGUGGGGAGCAAACAGG
This 253-nucleotide ribosomal RNA is filed under the name uncultured bacterium. Its description in RNAcentral is "partial 16S ribosomal RNA". It matches the Rfam family "Bacterial small subunit ribosomal RNA", at positions 524 to 776 of the family's 1533-position model. The record is from RNAcentral.